CCUACGGGAGGCAGCAGUGAGGAAUAUUGGUCAAUGGGCGCGAGCCUGAACCAGCCAAGUAGCGUGAAGGAUGACUGUCCUACGGGUUGUAAACCUCUUUUAUAAAGGAAUAAAGUGAGGCACGUGUGCCUUUUUGUAUGUACCUUAUGAAUAAGGAUCGGCUAACUCCGUGCCAGCAGCCGCGGUAAUACGGAGGAUCCGAGCGUUAUCCGGAUUUAUUGGGUUUAAAGGGAGCGUAGGUGGGUUGUUAAGUCAGUUGUGAAAGUUUGCGGCUCAACCGUAAAAUUGCAAUUGAUACUGGCGGUCUUGAGUACGGUUGAGGUAGGCGGAAUUCGUGGUGUAGCGGUGAAAUGCUUAGAUAUCACGAAGAACUCCGAUUGCGAAGGCAGCUUACUAAACUGCCACUGACAUUGAUGCUCGAAAGUGUGGGUAUCAAACAGGAUUAGAUACCCUGGUAGUC
Molecule: ribosomal RNA, 460 nt
Filed under: uncultured bacterium
Lineage: Bacteria
Description: partial 16S ribosomal RNA
Rfam family: Bacterial small subunit ribosomal RNA
Source: RNAcentral